GUAGGUGGCAAGCGUUGUCCGGAAUUAUUGGGCGUAAAGCGCGCGCAGGCGGUUCUUUUAAGUCUGAUGUGAAAGCCCACGGGCUCAACCGUGGAGGGUCAUUGGAAACUGGAGAACUUGAGUACAGAAGAGGAAAGCGGAAUUCCACGUGUAGCGGUGAAAUGCGUAGAGAUGUGGAGGAACACCAGUGGCGAAGGCGGCUUUCUGGUCUGUAACUGACGCUGAGGCGCGAAAGCGUGGGGGGCAAACAGGAUUAGAUACCCUGGUAGUCCACGCCGUAAACGAUGAGUGCUAAGUGUUAGGGGGUUUCCGCCCCUUAGUGCUGCAGCUAACGCAUUAAGCACUCCGCCUGGGGAGUACGGCCGCAAAGGCUG
RNAcentral lists this ribosomal RNA (374 nucleotides) under uncultured organism. RNAcentral describes it as "partial 16S ribosomal RNA". It matches the Rfam family "Bacterial small subunit ribosomal RNA", at positions 527 to 896 of the family's 1533-position model. The record is from RNAcentral.